CGUGCAGGAAGAAGGCCCUAUGGGUGUAAACUGCUUUUAUCAGGGAAGAAACCUCUGGAUUACUCCGGAGCUGACGGUACCUGAAGAAUAAGCACCGGCUAACUCCGUGCCAGCAGCCGCGGUAAUACGGAGGGUGCGAGCGUUAUCCGGAAUUACUGGGUUUAAAGGGUGCGUAGGCGGCUUUGUAAGUCAGGAGUGAAAGUUUGCGGCUCAACCGUAAAAUUGCUUUUGAUACUGCAGAGCUAGAAUCAGGAUGAGGUCAGCGGAAUGUGGCAUGUAGCGGUGAAAUGCAUAGAUAUGCCAUAGAACACCAAUUGCGAAGGCAGCUGGCUAGACCUGUAUUGACGCUGAGGCACGAAAGCGUGGGGAGCGAACAGGAUUAGAUACCCUGGUAGUCCACGCCCUAAACGAUGCUUACUCGACGUAUGGCCCUUGUGGUUGUGCGUCCAAGGGAAACCGUUAAGUAAGCCACCUGGGGAGUACGACCGCAAGGUUG
Molecule: ribosomal RNA, 496 nt
Filed under: uncultured Bacteroidota bacterium
Lineage: Bacteria; Pseudomonadati; Bacteroidota
Description: bacterial SSU rRNA
Rfam family: Bacterial small subunit ribosomal RNA
Source: RNAcentral